RNAcentral lists this ribosomal RNA (1299 nucleotides) under metagenome. RNAcentral's name for it is "bacterial SSU rRNA". It matches the Rfam family "Bacterial small subunit ribosomal RNA", at positions 208 to 1498 of the family's 1533-position model. The record is from RNAcentral.
AGGCCUUGCGCUCAUUGAGCGGCCGAUAUCAGAUUAGCUAGUUGGUGGGGUAAAAGCUCACCAAGGCGACGAUCUGUAGCGGGUCUGAGAGGAUGAUCCGCCACACUGGAACUGAGACACGGUCCAGACUCCUACGGGAGGCAGCAGUGGGGAAUUUUGGACAAUGGGGGCAACCCUGAUCCAGCCAUGCCGCGUGAGUGAAGAAGGCCUUCGGGUUGUAAAGCUCUUUCAGCCGGGAAGAAAACGCAUGGGUCAAUACCCUGUGUGGAUGACGGUACCGGAAUAAGAAGCACCGGCUAACUACGUGCCAGCAGCCGCGGUAAUACGUAGGGUGCGAGCGUUAAUCGGAAUUACUGGGCGUAAAGCGUGCGCAGGCGGUUUUGUAAGACAGGCGUGAAAUCCCCGGGCUUAACCUGGGAACUGCGUUUGUGACUGCAAGGCUAGAGUACGGCAGAGGGGGGUGGAAUUCCACGUGUAGCAGUGAAAUGCGUAGAGAUGUGGAGGAACACCAAUGGCGAAGGCAGCCCCCUGGGUCGAUACUGACGCUCAUGCACGAAAGCGUGGGUAGCAAACAGGAUUAGAUACCCUGGUAGUCCACGCCCUAAACGAUGUCAACUAGGUGUUGGGUGGGUAAAACCAUUUAGUACCGGAGCUAACGCGUGAAGUUGACCGCCUGGGGAGUACGGCCGCAAGGUUAAAACUCAAAGGAAUUGACGGGGACCCGCACAAGCGGUGGAUGAUGUGGAUUAAUUCGAUGCAACGCGAAAAACCUUACCUACCCUUGACAUGUCAGGAACUUGCCAGAGAUGGCUUGGUGCUCGAAAGAGAACCUGAACACAGGUGCUGCAUGGCUGUCGUCAGCUCGUGUCGUGAGAUGUUGGGUUAAGUCCCGCAACGAGCGCAACCCUUGUCGUUAAUUGCCAUCAUUUAGUUGGGCACUUUAACGAGACUGCCGGUGACAAACCGGAGGAAGGUGGGGAUGACGUCAAGUCCUCAUGGCCCUUAUGGGUAGGGCUUCACACGUCAUACAAUGGUCGGUACAAAGGGUCGCCAACCCGCGAGGGGGAGCCAAUCCCAUAAAGCCGAUCGUAGUCCGGAUUGCAGGCUGCAACUCGCCUGCAUGAAGUCGGAAUCGCUAGUAAUCGUGGAUCAGCAUGUCACGGUGAAUACGUUCCCGGGUCUUGUACACACCGCCCGUCACACCAUGGGAGCGGGUUCCGCCAGAAGUAGGUAGCCUAACCGCAAGGGGGGCGCUUACCACGGCGGGGUUCGUGACUGGGGUGAAGUCGUAACAAGGUA